This 207-nucleotide ribosomal RNA is filed under the name uncultured Lactobacillales bacterium. RNAcentral describes it as "partial 16S ribosomal RNA". It matches the Rfam family "Bacterial small subunit ribosomal RNA", at positions 568 to 774 of the family's 1533-position model. Lineage: Bacteria; Bacillati; Bacillota; Bacilli; Lactobacillales. The record is from RNAcentral.
AGCGCAGGCGGUGAUUUAAGUCUGAUGUGAAAGCCCACGGCUCAACCGUGGAAGGUCAUUGGAAACUGGGUCACUUGAGUGCAGAAGAGGAAAGUGGAAUUCCAUGUGUAGCGGUGAAAUGCGUAGAUAUAUGGAGGAACACCAGUGGCGAAGGCGACUUUCUGGUCUGUAACUGACGCUGAGGCUCGAAAGCAUGGGGAGCAAACA